This 28-nucleotide non-coding RNA is filed under the name Mus musculus (house mouse). The record is from RNAcentral. Lineage: Eukaryota; Metazoa; Chordata; Mammalia; Rodentia; Muridae.
UGUUCAGGGUUUACACAUCAGCAAUCCG